GACGAACGCUGGCGGCGUGCUUAACACAUGCAAGUCGAACGGUAAGGCUCCAGCUUGCUGGGGUACCCGAGUGGCGAACGGGUGAGUAACACGUGGGUGACCUGCCCUGCACUUCGGGAUAAGCCUGGGAAACUGGGUCUAAUACCGGAUCGGACCAUGGUGUGGAUACUGUGGUGGAAAGUUUUUUCGGUGUGGGAUGGGCCCGCGGCCUAUCAGCUUGUUGGUGGGGUAAUGGCCUACCAAGGCGGCGACGGGUAGCCGGCCUGAGAGGGUGGACGGCCACAUUGGGACUGAGACACGGCCCAGACUCCUACGGGAGGCAGCAGUGGGGAAUAUUGCACAAUGGGCGGAAGCCUGAUGCAGCGACGCCGCGUGGGGGAUGACGGCCUUCGGGUUGUAAACUCCUUUCACCAUCGACGAAGGGUUUCUGACGGUAGAUGGAGAAGAAGCACCGGCUAACUACGUG
This 466-nucleotide ribosomal RNA is filed under the name uncultured bacterium. RNAcentral's name for it is "partial 16S ribosomal RNA". It matches the Rfam family "Bacterial small subunit ribosomal RNA", at positions 28 to 507 of the family's 1533-position model. The record is from RNAcentral.